This 834-nucleotide ribosomal RNA is filed under the name uncultured Bacillota bacterium. Its description in RNAcentral is "bacterial SSU rRNA". It matches the Rfam family "Bacterial small subunit ribosomal RNA", at positions 71 to 902 of the family's 1533-position model. Lineage: Bacteria; Bacillati; Bacillota. The record is from RNAcentral.
GGCGGCCCGCAAGGGCCAGUCGAGCGGCGAACGGGUGAGUAACGCGUGGAUUAUCUACCCUGAGGUGGGGGAUAACCCGGGGAAACUCGGGCUAAUACCGCAUAUGACCGUGAGGUCAAAGGGGGGUCGCAAGAUCUCUCGCCAUAGGAGGAGUCCGCGUUCGAUUAGCUAGUUGGUAGGGUAAUGGCCUACCAAGGCCACGAUCGAUAGCCGGCCUGAGAGGGUGAUCGGCCACACUGGAACUGAGACACGGUCCAGACUCCUACGGGAGGCAGCAGUGGGGAAUUUUGCGCAAUGGGCUAACGCCUGACGCAGCAACGCCGCGUGGAGGAUGAAGGUCUUUGGAUUGUAAACUCCUGUCGACCGGGAAAAAGCAACCCGACCUCAUACGUCGGGAAGUUGAUUGUACCGGUGGAGGAAGCCCCGGCUAACUCUGUGCCAGCAGCCGCGGUAAUACAGAGGGGGCAAGCGUUAUUCGGAAUUAUUGGGCGUAAAGGGCGCGUAGGCGGCCUGGCAAGUGGAAGGUGAAAUCCCUCGGCUUAACCGAGGAACUGCCCUCCAAACUGCUUGGCUUGAGUCCGGGAGAGGUGAGUGGAAUUCCCAGUGUAGCGGUGAAAUGCGUAGAUAUUGGGAGGAACACCAGUGGCGAAGGCGGCUCACUGGACCGGAACUGACGCUGAGGCGCGAAAGCGUGGGGAGCAAACGGGAUUAGAUACCCCGGUAGUCCACGCCGUAAACGAUGAGUGCUUGGUGUAGCGGGUAUCGACCCCUGCUGUGCCGAAGUCAACACAUUAAGCACUCCGCCUGGGGAGUACGGUCGCAAGGCUGAAACUC